GACGAACGCUGGCGGCGUGCUUAACACAUGCAAGUCGAACGGAAAGGCCCUGCUUUUGUGGGGUGCUCGAGUGGCGAACGGGUGAGUAGCACGUGAGUAACCUGCCCUUGACUUUGGGAUAACUUCAGGAAACUGGGGCUAAUACCGGAUAGGAGCUCCUGCUGCAUGGUGGGGGCUGGAAAGUUUCGGCGGUUGGGGAUGGACUCGCGGCUUAUCAGCUUGUUGGUGGGGUAGUGGCUUACCAAGGCUUUGACGGGUAGCCGGCCUGAGAGGGUGACCGGCCACAUUGGGACUGAGAUACGGCCCAGACUCCUACGGGAGGCAGCAGUGGGGAAUAUUGCACAAUGGGCGGAAGCCUGAUGCAGCAACGCCGCGUGCGGGAUGACGGCCUUCGGGUUGUAAACCGCUUUCGCCUGUGACGAAGCGUGAGUGACGGUAAUGGGUAAAGAAGCACCGGCUAACUACGUG
Molecule: ribosomal RNA, 468 nt
Filed under: uncultured bacterium
Lineage: Bacteria
Description: partial 16S ribosomal RNA
Rfam family: Bacterial small subunit ribosomal RNA
Source: RNAcentral